AUCAAAGAUAGGACUACCAUCCAAUUGUUUGUUUAUUUAUUUAAUUACUCAAAACACACAUUUUACCCAUACUGGUUUUUCACUUCGGGUAUUUUCUGUUACAGUCAUUACUCAUUUAAGGGUCUCAGCAGGCGAAAAUCAUGAGUAACUGCACAGGCUCUCUAUGCUACUGUGGAAUAGAGAUGGGAAAAUGGCUCUCAGGUAGUGUGUGUGUAUGGACUCUAUUGGUAAAUACUAGAAUAGCCUGUGUGUGUGUGUGUGUGUGUGUGUGUGUGUGUGUGUGUGUGUGUGCGUGCGUGCAUGCACGUGUCUGCGUGUGCGCGGGUGUCUGCUCUCAUAAGUCUUGUGGUAUAUCAUUAGAGUCACAGUACCCUGAGUGAAUGGUUCUAGAUAGGUAGAUGGGAACAUUGUGGUGUUUGCAAAGAAUUCUGUGCUAAAGGGAACCAGUACAUGAACAUUUAAAAUCAACAUCUAGUCACAAUACAGAUACGAUGUGACUAGAAGUACUUCUGAGCCUGGAGAAACUCAAUUUCUGAGAAAUUGGUGGCUAACCCUAGGGCCAAUCUAUCAACUAAUCAAUAAACCAAUCAAUGAAUUAAAGGGUACUAUGUGUUUGUUACAGGGCUUGAUAUGUGAGAGCAACACACUGGAGACUCCACACUGUAAGCGUGUAAGCCCAGCACCUUAUUACUUUCACAUAUCCAGUCCAGUCCAAUUCAAUGUGUCAGUGCGUGUGCCUGUGUGUCGUACAUGAGCAUGUGUGUGUGUGUGUGUGUGUGUGUAGGUGUGUAUAUGUCUUGUGUGUAUUUGGGCAUUUGAAAAAAACAUAUUCGAUUAAACGUCCAGUUAACCAGUCAGAUUAUCCUUGGGGAGAGUCCCUGGCACCUUGACCUCUGCAGCAGAGGUCAAUCCUAAAGGUUGAAGGCAGAAGGGGAGGGGCCACACACAAUGGCUGUUUCACCCUGAGAGCCAUUCCUCCUCUUAACCACCCAUCCUGUUCAGCAGUUCUCUGCCUGCCUUUCUCCGUCUUUUCUCUCCAUUUCUCUCCUCUUUAUUGGAAAUUGAUUGUCUUCUACCAUCACAAUGACACUUGGUUCUGAUUGAUUGGCAGGUAAGGGAAGAGGGAGAGAACAUUUUGUACUAGGGCUGAGAGAGCGCUGGGACUCUCCUGCACUCCGGAGCAAAAAUGGAUGCCUUACAUUAUAUACAUGAGCCUACUUCAGUAGCCUGAGUGCCAGUCUGUUUCUGCAUUAGCCAACACUUUUAUCUUAGCUUUGGUGAAUGCAAAAACAGUCAGGCAGCCAGGGCACUACUUCAGGACAGUGCUAGUUUGAGAGAUACACACAGGUGCCUUCAAUUCAACAACAUGAAACAAGCAGUGAAUACACAUGAAAUAAUACAGAGAAAAGACCAAAAGAUCCCCAUCAUCCCUCACUAGCACACAUCAGGACAGGGUUACAAACACAACAACAGACACAACAGACCAGGAAGAAAGACAGAGUCGGGGAGGAGGAGACAACACAUACAGUACAUACACACAACACAUACACAACCAGCACAAACAAAAUAACAUCUGAAAGGAAAGAAAGCAUCACAUGGCAUCACCCCUUUUCUUAACUUCUCUUUUCCAGCCCCAGUCGUUCUUUCCUUUUCUCGCCCUCUCCUUUACCCGGGAGUACAUUUCAUCCUGCAGUUUCUAUACAGCUAUAUAAUAUCCAUGCAUAUAAGAAUCGCUCGCGUCGCCCCUGACAACAGAGGUGCUCUGGUGGGUUGGUUCUCUGUUUAAUAUGGGGAUCACUUGAACACACACAGGAGGCAGUUGGCUAACAAAGCUGUAGUUUUUAAGAAAAUAAAUAUGAAAAGAAAAAAAGGAACACUAUUUGUCCACAAUGUGUUAUCGUUGGUUUUCAAAUUAACAUUUUUUUUUUUUUACUAUCCUGUAUUUUUUUCCAUUCUUUAGUCCUAUACCCUGAUGUUACCCUACAUACUGGAAGUUACCUAUACACCUCCACCCUAGAUUUCUUACAACCUACCACCCUUCCCCUCACACCAUUCUUUAUGCGCUAGAACACUUUCACCAUCCUUCCCCUAUGGCCUUAAACCCACCCUACCUCCCUUAUUCUUGACCCUACAACUCUUACACCCUACACUUCCCCUCUACCCAUAAUCCUAUCUUCUUACACCAUACCGCCCUCACAGCUUACCUCCUUUCCCCUCUGCCCUACAGCCCUACCACAUUACUUCACCGAUUCUUUCCACAACUCGUCAGCUUUUACCUUCUAUCUUUCCCACAUUCUUCUUUACCCAUCCCAUUACUUUUAGCUACAGUCAGUCUCCCUCAUCACAGGAUACAGAGGAAUAAAUCAAUAAAUCAACAAAACGUAUCAAACAGUAAAAAGGCUUCUAGUACAUAUUCUCCAUGAAUAAAAACAAUUAUUUUAGCAGUGACUCAUGACUCUCAUUGCUAAUAACGUUGUUAUUGUUUCACUACGUAACCUUUAUAUUAAAGAUUUGAGGUAUAUUGGGAUGAAAUGUCUACACAUGCCUGCCUAGUUGUCAAGCUAGCCGGGACAGGGGAUAGGUGAAGAGGGUUAGAGCCGGGACAGGGGAUAUGUGAAGAGGGUUAGAGCCGGGACAGGGGAUAGGUGAAGAGGGUUAGAGCCGGGACAGGGGAUAGGUGAAGAGGGUUAGAGCCGGGACAGGGGAUAUGUGAAGAGGGUUAGAGCCGGGACAGGGGAUAGGUGAAGAGGGUUAGAGCCGGGACAGGGGAUAGGUGAAGAGGGUUAGAGCCGGGACAGGGGAUAGGUGAAGAGGGUUAGAGCCGGGACAGGGGAAUGUGAAGAGGGUUAGAGCCGGGACAGGGGAUAUGUGAAGAGGGUUAGAGCCGGGACAGGGGAUAGGUGAAGAGGGUUAGAGUGGAGUGCGGUGGAACACUGUAUGUUUUUGGGGAUAGCUGAUUGGCCAUUGAUUUACCCCAAUGCUAGCCAGUUAAAGAGAGAUAUCUGAGGGUGUGGUUUUGAAUCACAGAAAGUGCAGACCCAUCACGUGGCACACUCACACUCCCGCUAUAAAUUACAUAAAAAUAUCUCUGGUAGGAGUGUGUGUGUGACAAAAUACAGACACACCUCAAUACCUGGGGCACAUUAACAUCCGACUGCAAGCACACAUACACACUUGCACGCACUGGCACUCACACACACACACACACAAACACGUGCACAAACACAGGCUCUCUGUUGAUCAAACCAACACCACCCAUGUCAAAUAUGUCAAAUGUGUCUCAUUCAAUGACCCAUGUGAUCAUUUGGUUAAGGUAAGAAUUAAUAAAUAAUAGGAGUAAUAAAAUGUACAAAACAAAGUGCUUUUUGAAUUCCAAUGGGAGUUGAUUCUAAGCUUGUGUAUACCGUUCCAUCCUGUAUGUGCCCCCUACACCUUGGCAUGCGUUUAAUGAGGUGUGUGUCUGUGCACAUUUGUACUUCUGUGCAUGUCUGUUUGUGCAUGUGUGUGUUCAGAGCAGUCCAACCCGUGGUUGAAGGAAAAAGGCACUCAACUCUGUCUGCAUAGCUACCACCUCCCUGUGGUCAAUAUACAGUGCAACUGCUCUGUGUGCGGGUUUAUGAUUUACAGUGUGUGUGUGUGUGUGUGUGUGUGUGUGUGUGUGUGUGUGUGUGUGUGUGUGUGUGUGUGUGUGUGUGUGUGUGUGUGUGUGU
RNAcentral lists this long non-coding RNA (3710 nucleotides) under Salmo salar (Atlantic salmon). Its description in RNAcentral is "lncRNA (ENSSSAG00000104562.1)". Lineage: Eukaryota; Metazoa; Chordata; Actinopteri; Salmoniformes; Salmonidae. The record is from RNAcentral.